GGAUGCGAUCAUACCAGCACUAAAGCACCGGAUCCCAUCAGAACUCCGAAGUUAAGCGUGCUUGGGUGAGAGUAGUACUAGGAUGGGUGACCUCUUGGGAAGUCCUCGUGUUGCAUUCC
Molecule: ribosomal RNA, 119 nt
Filed under: Triticum aestivum (bread wheat)
Lineage: Eukaryota; Viridiplantae; Streptophyta; Magnoliopsida; Poales; Poaceae
Source: RNAcentral